UACGAAGGGGGCUAGCGUUGCUCGGAAUUACUGGGCGUAAAGCGCACGUAGGCGGAUUGUUAAGUCGGGGGGGAAAUCCUGGAGCUCAACUCCAGAACUGCCUUCGAUACUGGCGAUCUCGAGUUCGGGAGAGGUGAGUGGAACUGCGAGUGUAGAGGUGAAAUUCGUAGAUAUUCGCAAGAACACCAGUGGCGAAGGCGGCUCACUGGCCCGAUACUGACGCUGAGGUGCGAAAGCGUGGGGGGCAAACAGG
This 253-nucleotide ribosomal RNA is filed under the name uncultured bacterium. RNAcentral describes it as "partial 16S ribosomal RNA". It matches the Rfam family "Bacterial small subunit ribosomal RNA", at positions 524 to 776 of the family's 1533-position model. The record is from RNAcentral.